This is a long non-coding RNA of Felis catus (domestic cat), 2778 nucleotides long. RefSeq lists it as uncharacterized. The record is from RefSeq and is a predicted model, not a curated record. The transcript is spliced from 2 exons. NCBI's taxonomy places the organism in Eukaryota, Metazoa, Chordata, Mammalia, Carnivora, Felidae.
UCUCGAGGGGGCAGCCGAGCCUGGAACCCUGCCUGGGAGGGAAGGCGGGCCUCACCACGCCAACGCUAGACGGCGAGGCCCCCUGAGGGUUAGGGGACUCCCCGAUGGGUGGGUGGGUGGGUGGGCGGCCGCCUGGAAUUCCACCCGCCCCAGGCCUCCGCCCCCAUCUGCCCCAUCCUGUGGAUUAGGCCCGCGCCCCGCCUCGGCCGCCCUCCCGCCAGACAAAGGCAGUAAAGGCGAAGCCUGCGGGCGGUCUUUCAUCGAACGGCGGGCUCCGGCAUUUCAAAGGCCAAGUCGGGAAGGCGCUUCGGGGGGUGCUCGCCUUCCCCCCCCCCCCCCCAGAUACCUCGGGGUGAGGGUGAGGAGGGUGGAGGCAGGACCUCUCCUGCCCUUCCCCGAGGGCCCGGGUCUACCAGCGCCCUUCCACGUGCCUUCACACACCUGCAGCCUCCCCGAUGCCCCUGCCUUCCCCUGGCGGCAGCCCCUCGCAGGGACCCCGCCACCAACCCCUCUCUCCAGGUGGUCAGGAUGGAGAAAGCCCGAGGUAGAACCAGGGAAAACUUGGAAACGUUUAGAAGCACGUGAGGGCCAGUCCUUGUCCGUCCAGCUGGAACCUUCGAUGGCUCCGAGAGGGGGACCACUGGCAGGCUUGGGGAGGGCAGCCGAACAGGCACCCCCAAGGACUCAGGCUGGACCGGGUCUGAGCCAUCGCCUACGCGCCUCCCGAACUGACUGCAUCGCGUCCGCUCGAGCCUGGGAUUCCUCUCCGGCAGAGGGGCCCGAGGACAGUCCCUCGGGGCUAAAGGGCUGGGUCUGGUCGUGGGCGCGGGAAUGGAGGAGGAACUCCGCCGCCCGUGCGGGGGCUGAGGUGGGUGCCUCCCUCCGCGCCCCUCCCUGGCGGCACUUCAGGGGUGCCCAGCUGGAGUUUGCGGCCAGCAUGGCGGCCAAGGGGGCGCUUUCGAUAGGAGUUGCAGGCCAGCCCCAGGGCGGAAAGCAAGGGCGAGGCCGGGGUGCAUCCCGCCCCCGGACUGGAGAGCUUUUGGGGGCGCGGCGCAGGCGUCCCUAUAAUCGCCGGCGGCUAUUAAAAAUAAAAACCUCAGCGAGUCGUCAUAGCGACCAGACAACAGCCGCUGCGGGAGGGCGGCAAAAACCGUGCCACCGGCGCCGCUGGGGGAGAUUCGGGGCACGCCGCGCGUUCCAGCCGGGGCGGGGCUACGACCCCAGCCCCACGGGCCCCGCCCUCCCCCACCCCCGAAAAAACUGGCAGAAACAGAGCCAGGGGCCCGGCUUCCAAGAAUGCGACGUAGAGAUACAACUGACUUGACCAAGAGGUCAACAACUUGGGUGAGAACCCACGCGACGCGCUCCCUCCUCCCCGGCCCGUGCCGCGCGGCGCCCCGCCCACUCAGGUCCCAAGCGUCUCCCUUUCGGCCCGCGGAGAGGGGGGGGAGGGCACUGGGUGAGCAGGUGGGCUUCGGGGGCUCACCCCGGACAGGGAGCCGAAAGUCCGGAGGCCAGGCGCGUGGGGGGCUGCUGCACCUGCCCGGUGCGCCGGGUCCGCGCUCCUUGCGGAUCAGGCGUGGUCACGUGCUUCUUUCUGCCCCGGAUCGAGUUUCCCUUCCAGCCGCUAUUAGGCGGUUCACACGGUUCAUUGCAAAUAUUUGAUAAUGAGGCUAAAUAUACAUCGGAAUCGGAGGAGGCGUGGGCGGCCGUGCGGAGAGCGUGGGCGCGGCGUUCCCGGCUGGGCGGGCAUCCCCACCCAGGCCCUGCGGAGGCGCCGGACCCCGGGACGGGCACCAGGCUGUGUGCUACAGGGAGACCCGCCCCGCGCGCCGCCCCCGGGCCAUUCCGGCCCCAGGCUCGGGUACUGUCCCCAGAGGCCAGCUAGAGGGCCCCUGGCGGAAGGAGGGGGCGCCGCAGGGAUCUCCAGGGUGGGGAGGUGCUGGCGGGAGGUGAAGGUGCACCUGGCCGCUGGGAUGUCCGGUCGCCCCCGGAGCGGGUGCUUCCGGGCUAUCUCGGGCGUCUCCGGCGCGCCCCGACGUGCCUGCAGGCCCAUAAUUAGAGUGAGUCAGGUGCUCUAAAUAGGCGGAGAGAGGGGGUGCCGUGCAGCUGGGGUGACUGGUUGGGCGACAGCCACUGGUGCCUCACCAUACUGCCCAUGAUCCCGCAGCAGGGAGGAGUGGGAAGGACCUUGGCCGUUCCUCGGAGCAAAGUAGGGGCCAGAGGGGCACCCGCUUCAUUAAGCACCCGGUGAGCUGCGUAGCCUGCGUGUCACCCUAACCCCAGCUCACCUCAUUCCCUCUCCACCCGCUGCCAGUACCUGCCUGGGGCCUGGCGCCAGCUGACAAGCCGCUACUGCUAGGAUUGCUGUUACUUCCCGGUGGAAGUCACGACGAACAUCCACUGACCACCUGGGUCCCUGUGUGACUUCAUUUCCCUCACACGGACACAGACGAGAGCAGAAACGGAGUUUGAAACAGCUGUGAGCCCGCAGUCAUCUUGCGAGUAUGCUGUGCGUCAAGACCCACGUUAAGGGACACUUGGCGGCUUGCAGGCUAGACUGUGUGGUUCGGGAGCCACCAGCCACCCUGUGGCCGCUGGCGUGUGAACCGUGGCUGCUUCACCCAGAGAUACGCCGGACACGCACGGCCUCCGUGGCCGAGAGGGCUUCGUGUGCAGGCAAAGGGUGUGACAUUUCUCAUUGCCGAUUUUUAAAUUCGUUCCAUGUUGAGAUGAUAGCAUUUCGAUGUAUUGCUUAAAUAAAUUAUAUUACUGCAA